GGACAUGGAUUUUCUUUGCUGCACAACAUGUUUUUUCCAGAACUGCCAUUCAUGGACGUACAGGAGGUUUUUUUUCAUUUCUGAUAUUCCACACAGCAUUUCUACAGAAAAAGAAACUCAUUUCAUGGCCAAAGAAGAUAGCAAUGAACUCAUAACUAUUGGAUUAAUUGAUUUUGCCACAUUCCCUCACCACCCUGAAGCAUUGGCUUGAUAUAAAGAUGGAACAGCAUACUGAAGACUCAGCAAUGCUAUCAGUUGGAAGACACCACCAUGAAGGAGAUGAGGUUCCAUUUUACAGGAUACAGUGUAUGAUUUGUAUCAGAGGCACUUAAUGUUGCCAUUUCUCCCAUAGCUAGAAUACACGGAGCUGGGAAUCAAGGAAUUGAAGAUGGAGUGAUUCCUCUCAGUAUCACUUCUAACCUGCCGUUCACAGAAUUUUUUAUUCCUGUUCUUGUAACUUUGAGCACUGCUGAUUUGGAAAUUUUGGUUCCUAAGCAAGAUAUUCUUCCACCAGAGGAACAACAAUGGUUCCACUGAACUGGAAAGCGAGACUGCCACCUCACUAUUUUAGGCUCCUGGCACCACUGAAUCAACAGACAAAAAAAGAGGUUACUCUACUGGCUGGGGUGAUUGAUCCCAAUUUGUAUGAUGAACUCAGGUUACAAAGGAGGUAGGAAGGACUAUAUCAGGGGAUUGGGAAAUUCUUCGGGACAACUCUUAGUCCUUCCAUGUCCAAUUAUGGAAGUUCAUGGAAAACUACUACAUCAACAACAAAGGCAAACUCACUAAGGAUUCCAAUCCUUCAGGAAUGAAUUUGUGUCCCAAAACCAGGUAAAGAACCUUGACCAGCUGAGCUGAAAGGAAGGAAAUAUGGGAUGGGCAUUGGAAGAAGGAAGUUACAUAUAUAUCUACUGUGGCCUUCUGACUGGUUACAAAAUUAAAAAUAGUAGCAGAUAUGUGUAUUUUCUCCCACGCUCUGUUAAACUAUUGAAGUCAAGAAGCAAAAUUGCUUUGGGAGAUUCUCCAUUCCACCACCCACAGUGACACACCUUGAGCAAUGGAAGAGUCACAGCUGUUGCAGAUGGAGUGUUCCAUAAGAGCAGCAGUGGUAACGUCUAAUGGAGAUGGCAGUGCCUGGUGAGAGACACAGAGCAAGAAUGAUGCUCACCGACAGACUUGUUUGUGGGCAAGUGGGAGACACCUCUGGGGAUUCCUAAAAAUACUUAGGGGAAGAUCAUUUGCCAGAAGGUGAGGAGAAGACUCC
RNAcentral lists this long non-coding RNA (1264 nucleotides) under Equus caballus (horse). RNAcentral describes it as "lncRNA (ENSECAG00000060161.1)". The record is from RNAcentral. Lineage: Eukaryota; Metazoa; Chordata; Mammalia; Perissodactyla; Equidae.